This 1171-nucleotide long non-coding RNA is filed under the name Corvus moneduloides (New Caledonian crow). RNAcentral's name for it is "lncRNA (ENSCMUG00000019560.1)". The record is from RNAcentral. Lineage: Eukaryota; Metazoa; Chordata; Aves; Passeriformes; Corvidae.
AGUUCAAAUACUGGGCUUGGUGACCUCCUCGUGGGAUCCCGAAUGCCGUGUCCAGUGUGCCUCCCGGCCCCUGAGGACAACAACUAGGAGACAUUCAGGACUGUGGCUGGAACCAGCAGUGACACUGAGGCUCAGAGGUGAGGGGUGGCCUUGUCCAUGGCAUCUCUGGAGUGGGAGGAGCAGCUGGUGUGAAACAGCUGCCCAUGGGAGAGAGCUGGCAGGGACAGGGCAAGUUUUUCUGGAGAGGGCUCCAGUGCUGGGAAUCCUCCCCAGGAGUGGAUGGUGAAGGGGAGCCUCAUGGCAUUCAUUGCCAGUAGGAAAGAGUCUGGUGCAGACAUGGAGAGCGAGCCAGGGUUGUGUUUCUCCCGCUGCUGUUCUUAGGGUGGCUCCUGGUGGCACUCAUCUCAGAGUGCUGACCUUCCUGGGGAAUCCCUGAGUGGCUGAGCUGCGGCUGCUGCACUCCUGAAAGUGUGGUAGCAAUGAAAGUUAUCAUGGUUGCGUCUUUAAUUUUUAUUUUUUUAAAGACUGAAUUCACAUUCUUCUAUUGAGAUUUAAGGAGUGUGGAAAGAGGACAUUAUUUCUUCCCCGCAGAUGAGAAGUGCAGUGUGUGCCUCCACCCCAACUUCUACAAAAUUCUGUUUUACAAAGCAGAAAAAGAACAUCGAGUUCAUGUUGGAGCUGUAGCUCAGUUUUCUAAGACCAGAUUUUGCCUCGUGUUCCCUGUUCAAAUGACUAGCUGUGCUGGGCACUUAGAAAUUUUCUCCCUCUUCCUCAUCUCCACCUUGACAUUAUGAAAAGGGUUUUCAUCAAUCCAUUGAAAGAAGGAGAUAACUUUUGUAUAAAAGUGCGCGGUUGACAGGGUUGAGUUUUUUGGGUAGUAUGUAAUUUUUUUUUUUACACUGUUAUUAUUUAAAAUAUGCUUUCUAAGAGGACAAAAGGGAAAAGCUUAAUGGAAACAAAUUUCUGUAGCAAAAUGUGCAGCUGGAUAAAAAAAGAUUAUUUCUGUUAUUGCUUGGUUAGACAGGUGAAUUUCGAAUUUGAGUACAAAAGGUGCUAAAAAGUGUGCUUAAACUUCUCUUCAGUGUGCUGUUGAGAUUGAAAAGAAUAAUUUUUGGAGAAAAACUUUUCUCUGAGCCUCUAUUUCCAGCAUUGUCAAAUCUUUAGCGGCGGC